Molecule: long non-coding RNA, 221 nt
Filed under: Medicago truncatula (barrel medic)
Lineage: Eukaryota; Viridiplantae; Streptophyta; Magnoliopsida; Fabales; Fabaceae
Description: long non-coding RNA (MTRU_LNC006646)
Source: RNAcentral
UCCUUAAUUUUACUAAACAAAUUAUAUUAACCCUAGAUUUAAUUUAUGCAAAAUGUCAUCUCUUAUUUAUAAACGUUAACCCGUGACGCAAUAUUAACCCUAGAUUUAACCUAAUUUUUUCGUGUGACUUUACUAUAUUAACCCUAUAUUUAAUUUAUGCAAAAUGUCAUCUCUUAUUUCUAAAUGUUAACCGGUGAUGCAAUAUUAACCCUAGAUUUAAC